UGGGGAAUCUUCCGCAAUGGACGAAAGUCUGACGGAGCAACGCCGCGUGAGUGAUGACGGUCUUCGGAUUGUAAAGCUCUGUUAAUCGGGACGAAUGGUUUGUGUGCAAAUAGUGCAUAGACAUGACGGUACCGGAAUAGAAAGCCACGGCUAACUACGUGCCAGCAGCCGCGGUAAUACGUAGGUGGCAAGCGUUGUCCGGUAUUAUUGGGCGUAAAGCGCGCGCAGGCGGACUAGCCAGUCAGUCUUAAAAGUUCGGGGCUUAACCCCGUGAUGGGAUUGAAACUACUAGUCUAGAGUAUCGGAGAGGAAAGUGGAAUUCCUAGUGUAGCGGUGAAAUGCGUAGAUAUUAGGAAGAACACCAGUGGCGAAGGCGACUUUCUGGACGAACACUGACGAUGAGGCGCGAAAGCCAGGGGAGCGAACGGG
RNAcentral lists this ribosomal RNA (429 nucleotides) under Verrucomicrobiota bacterium. RNAcentral's name for it is "Verrucomicrobia bacterium partial 16S ribosomal RNA". It matches the Rfam family "Bacterial small subunit ribosomal RNA", at positions 355 to 776 of the family's 1533-position model. Lineage: Bacteria; Pseudomonadati; Verrucomicrobiota. The record is from RNAcentral.